AUACAACCUGGCUCUUCUUUGUCCUAAGAUGAGAGGAGUGCCCUGUGGUGCUGACGCCAGAGAGCCUGCCACACACUGGCUGUGUGGAACAGAAGUGUGGCGACUGCCCAGCAGCCACCCACCUGGUCUCUGUCCUAAAUGCCAUCACCCGGGGCUAUUUCUGGGACAGCAGCAACAAGGCAUGGGAGAGGAGGAAGUAGGGCCUCGCCGCUGCCUCAGCUGCCACUGAAUUCUGAAUUGGGAGCAGCCUGGACAGAGCAGUAACCUGACAUCAGCCCCAGGGACACGAGGAGGCUCAUGUGUGGUGCGCAGGGAAAGCGGGUCUGCUUGGAGCAGGAGCAGGCUUGUGCUUUAUUUUUGUUACUCCUUUCUCAAACAGCCCCAUGUGAAUCUGAUGAUUCCUGCUGCAGUAUGAAAAGCAGAAUAUGGAAGAUGUUGGAUCGUAUAAAGUAUUGUAUAUGUUGUGGGUUGGGCUGCAGAGCACCACUGAGGACACGGAGUCUCUGUAACCUGACCUUCUCAGGCAGCGAGUUCUUCAUUGCGCCAAGGACAGCGGAUGUCGAAGACACAGUGAGACUGACCGACAGCCCUGUUGGGUAUCCCUGCUGGCAAGUCUCUUAGGAUUCUAUGAUUUUACUCAUGUGGGCGUGGAGGAAGGAUCAGGCGUGAUCAAGGAUCACAGAAGCUUUGGCUGCCGUCUCCCGUGGGGAGAGAGAGCUUCAGUCCUCGUCUUCGUCUUAGACGUCGCCUCCUGACUCCAGUGCAGACGGCUCAGCCUGGUGGCACAGACCCUUCCUCCAGCCGGCACCGGCUUUCUGGCUUCCACCACUGCCCUUGGGCCUUCCCAGUGCGGAUCCUCGAUACGGACUCGCACACUCACACCGGACACUGCCCCGGCUCCGCGCCCUGGACUGGAUCCUUCCAGUCUCCAGCACGCAGGCGCACAUGGCACGCUUCUCCGCCUGACUCCAAGUUUUGUGGAGGCCGAAUUCUCCCUUAAGCAUACUGGGUUUCAACCAGGGGUCACCCUGUGACUUCCUAGAAGCAGCCAGCUGACUUCACAAACACCUGGCACUUUUGGAGAUGCAGAUUCUUCCCCUGGAGCAAGGGCCACCCAACACUUUAUACCUUGGAAUUGAGCAAAGACCAAGCCGCCAGUUGAGUUAUUUCAAUGAUAUUAUCAGUGCUUCAAAACAUUUUCAUCAGCCAGCCAGUAAAAGAUUUAUUAUUGACGGGAACUCCUUUCUUUUGGGCAGUGUUCUGCUUUGUUAGACUCUCAUUCCUAAUAUAUUUUCCUGAUAAGAGUACCUCUUCAAGAACAAAGUACCUCUCCAACUCAGCAACUCCAGGAC
RNAcentral lists this long non-coding RNA (1352 nucleotides) under Heterocephalus glaber (naked mole-rat). RNAcentral's name for it is "lncRNA (ENSHGLG00000043162.1)". The record is from RNAcentral. Lineage: Eukaryota; Metazoa; Chordata; Mammalia; Rodentia; Bathyergidae.